Molecule: long non-coding RNA, 741 nt
Organism: Nematostella vectensis (starlet sea anemone)
Lineage: Eukaryota; Metazoa; Cnidaria; Anthozoa; Actiniaria; Edwardsiidae
Exons: 2
Source: RefSeq, a predicted model, not a curated record
GGAGUGGACAUUGUGUUUUGAGGCCAUGGAAAUGAACCUGGAGGAUCAGAAUAAAGAUUCUUACCAUAAAGGUUAAUAUCAAGAGCUUAACUAUAAUUUAGCAAGUCUCUUUGUAAUUAAAAUGAGAUUUUGAGAAGUGGAACAUGAUUGACCCUUUGCCAUUACCUGGAAAACAGGUCAUAACGAGUCAAAUUACACUCACCUUUCUAAAAACGUGGAACGCAAGAGGUGAAUGGAUGCCAUCGAAGUCGCACGCGAAAAGAGGUAAAUGGAUGCCAUCGAAGUCGCACGCGACAAGAGGUAAAUGGAUGUCAUCGAACUCGCACGCGACAAGAGGUGAAUGGUUUUCUAUUUUCAAGCAGGCAUGUAGACAGGAUUUGCGCAAUUAUAGAUAUUAUAUGGAAUUAAAGUAUAUUUGACGAUAAAUCUUAAUAGUAAACGGACCACUGGGUCGUUCAAAAAACAUACUCGCCCCUUAAGCACCUUAUAAUUUGCAUUAUUUCUCGUUAGCUUUUUGUAGAUAAGAAAAACAUAUAUUGGAAAUAUUUAGGUAUUGAUACUGUAUAGAGUAGUAGCUUAAAAUAAUGAAAUUAUAAAGAAUGAUGAAAAGAAAUGCUAUUGAUUUCUCCAAAAAAUUCAUUAAUACAAGCCACUUUCUUACAAAAUUCGUAAUAAAAAUCUAUGUGGCCUUUGUAAGAGUUUUGAGCUAGACAGAAUUGAUUAAACAACGUUUGUAAUUGA